RNAcentral lists this ribosomal RNA (465 nucleotides) under Vreelandella stevensii. RNAcentral's name for it is "partial 16S ribosomal RNA". It matches the Rfam family "Bacterial small subunit ribosomal RNA", at positions 338 to 795 of the family's 1533-position model. Lineage: Bacteria; Pseudomonadati; Pseudomonadota; Gammaproteobacteria; Oceanospirillales; Halomonadaceae. The record is from RNAcentral.
CCUACGGGGGGCAGCAGUGGGGAAUAUUGGACAAUGGGGGGAACCCUGAUCCAGCCAUGCCGCGUGUGUGAAGAAGGCCCUCGGGUUGUAAAGCACUUUCAGUGAGGAAGAACGCCUGGUGGUUAAUACCCAUCAGGAAAGACAUCACUCACAGAAGAAGCACCGGCUAACUCCGUGCCAGCAGCCGCGGUAAUACGGAGGGUGCGAGCGUUAAUCGGAAUUACUGGGCGUAAAGCGCGCGUAGGUGGCUUGAUAAGCCGGUUGUGAAAGCCCCGGGCUCAACCUGGGAACGGCAUCCGGAACUGUCAAGCUAGAGUGCAGGAGAGGAAGGUAGAAUUCCCGGUGUAGCGGUGAAAUGCGUAGAGAUCGGGAGGAAUACCAGUGGCGAAGGCGGCCUUCUGGACUGACACUGACACUGGGGUGCGAAAGCGUGGGUAGCAAACAGGAUUAGAUACCCUGGUAGUC